Molecule: transfer RNA, 73 nt
Filed under: Ovis aries (sheep)
Lineage: Eukaryota; Metazoa; Chordata; Mammalia; Artiodactyla; Bovidae
Rfam family: tRNA
About the family: Transfer RNA (tRNA) molecules are approximately 80 nucleotides in length. Their secondary structure includes four short double-helical elements and three loops (D, anti-codon, and T loops).
Source: Rfam by way of RNAcentral
UCCCUGGUGGUCCAGUGGCUAAGACUCCACGCUCCCAAUGCAGGGGGCUUGGGUUUGAUUCCCGGUCAGGGAA